This 401-nucleotide ribosomal RNA is filed under the name uncultured bacterium. RNAcentral describes it as "bacterial SSU rRNA". It matches the Rfam family "Bacterial small subunit ribosomal RNA", at positions 360 to 773 of the family's 1533-position model. The record is from RNAcentral.
AAUAUUGCACAAUGGGCGGAAGCCUGAUGCAGCGACGCCGCGUGAGGGAUGACGGCCUUCGGGUUGUAAACCUCUUUCAGCAGGGAAGGAGCGAAAGUGACGGUACCUGCAGAAGAAGCGCCGGCUAACUACGUGCCAGCAGCCGCGGUAAUACGUAGGGCGCAAGCGUUGUCCGGAAUUAUUGGGCGUAAAGAGCUCGUAGGCGGCUUGUCGCGUCGGAUGUGAAAGCCCGGGGCUUAACCCCGGGUCUGCAUUCGAUACGGGCAGGCUAGAGUUCGGUAGGGGAGAUCGGAAUUCCUGGUGUAGCGGUGAAAUGCGCAGAUAUCAGGAGGAACACCGGUGGCGAAGGCGGCCUUCUGGACAGUGACUGACGCUGAGACGCGAAAGCGUGGGGAGCAAAC